CCAGAACCGUGAGACAGUAUCCGCUGUUUUGAGCCAUCCGGUUUGUGGUACCUUGUUAACCUUCUUCUACAACCCUAAAAAGCAAAUACCAGCAUGCACUAUUUUAGAUUUUAAAACCAGGAUUAUAAAAGAACCACAGAAACACAGGGAAAGGCGCGAUUAUCCAGUUUUCUCGGGCAGUCGCUCUGAAGAGGAAAUGUUGGAGAGGAAUUUGCACAACAGAGGGUGAAUUAUACUGCUGGGUCACAAGAAGAAGACGUGGCUCCUCUUGAUGCUGAGGGAGGCCUGGAAGUCAUUGCUGGGA
Molecule: long non-coding RNA, 304 nt
Filed under: Homo sapiens (human)
Lineage: Eukaryota; Metazoa; Chordata; Mammalia; Primates; Hominidae
Description: HSALNT0050014
Source: RNAcentral